This 448-nucleotide ribosomal RNA is filed under the name uncultured bacterium. RNAcentral's name for it is "bacterial SSU rRNA". It matches the Rfam family "Bacterial small subunit ribosomal RNA", at positions 330 to 792 of the family's 1533-position model. The record is from RNAcentral.
GCCAGACUCCUACGGGAGGCAGCAGUGGGGAAUAUUGGACAAUGGGGGGAACCCUGAUCCAGCGACGCCGCGUGAGUGAAGAAGUGUUUCGGUAUGUAAAGCUCUCUCAGCAGGGAAGAAAGAAAUGACGGUACCUGACUAAGAAGCCCCGGCUAACUACGUGCCAGCAGCCGCGGUAAUACGUAGGGGGCGAGCGUUAUCCGGAUUCACUGGGUGUAAAGGGAGCGUAGACGGCCAAGCAAGCCAGGGGUGAAAGCCCGGGGCCCAACCCCGGGACUGCCCUUGGAACUGCAUGGCUGGAGUGCGGGAGGGGCAGGCGGAAUUCCUGGUGUAGCGGUGAAAUGCGUAGAUAUCAGGAGGAACACCGGCGGCGAAGGCGGCCUGCUGGACCGCGACUGACGCUGAGGCUCGAAAGCGUGGGGAGCGAACAGGAUUAGAUACCCCAGUA